AGGAGAAACAGGAAGGGUCCCUUUUCCCAUCUGCUCUUGCUCCAGUGGCAGGAUGUGAUCCACCGGCAAGGGAGGAUGCCAAUAUGGUGUCCGAUAAGCUUCCUUUCUAGAAGUCUGUUUGGCACAUUCAUCUUUUUGCAACCCCCGGAGAUUAACCAAGACCACUUCCAUGACCCUGGAUGUGCAGAUAUACAUCGAAGGUUCACAGUAUGUGGAAGUGGCUUCCAAAUGCAAAUUCUUGGCCUUCAGGACAGACCCAUUGAAUCAGCUCCAUAAAAUGAGCCCACCAAACAAUAUUCUAAUGACUCCUCUAAUUUUAGUGAACAAUAUUUCAGUGUCGGUGCAAAAAAACAAAAACAAACAAACAAAAAAAAAGACAAGUCUUCAUGGAGUUUGUUUAUAUGGUGGAUUACAUGGACAGAUUUAUGUUUGUUGAACCAACCCAUCUGUGGGAUGAAGCCUACUUGAUCAUGGAUGUUACUGCUCUCCAGAGAUGGAACCCAGUUUUUCCUGGUAAUUUUGCUGGACAUUAGAAAGACCUACAUGAUGUUGAAAUGCGAUGUAGUGGAAAGACUUUAACUUAUGGGAGACAUUUAUAAUCUUAAAGCCUUCUCUAUGUCACAGAUGAGGUAAUCCUCCCACCCCAGCUAAAUGACAACCUGAGAAGCUAUGCCAUAGAGUCCUGUUCUAGAAUGCCUAGUUACCUACUGGAUGCAACUUUUCCAUGAUAGUGAGAGAAAACAGAAGACUUUUUAGAGGAUCUUAACUGAAGUCUUUGUGAAACACUAUCUCUUUGAGAUCAUUCUGCAACAGUAAACUUCGAGGUUUCACUGUGGUUCUGUUUGUAUUUGCUUCAUGGUUUAUUGACAUAUCAUUGACAGAAAUGCUUAUUCAGCAUGCAUACGGUAUUGUGAUAUAAAAACAAAUGAUAAAGUGACUGUUACAAUUGCAUACUAUUACCACACAUUACUUAUGAUACUUAGCAAAUGGAAAAUGUCCAGGCCAACUACAGUUUGCAUGAAUAGAUGUCUGAAGCAGGGUGGCUGGAGCAGAGCAGACUGUGGAGGCAAAAGCAGAUGUAUGGCACAGAAUCCUGAAACUGAUUCUCCAUGGAUACCCAGGAAGACUUGACCAGAUAAAUCAGUGCUUUAGACUAGGGCUGGCUUGAGCCUGCUGCAUGUGAUCUUGGGAGUUUCACUGUAGAGUCUAUAUAUCUUCCUGAAAGAUGCCAUUCAAGAGCCCUGUUAGCAACAAAAGUGAACAAGGCCGGUUGUAUUCCCACAGCUCCUUGGAGCUUCAGUCAUAGAAAAUCCAGUGCAUGGAUACAAUUUCCAUCCUCCCUUCCAAAACAAACAAACAAACAAACAAAAAACAGAGACAACUUUGCAAUUGCACUGUUUUGGAGAGAGAGAGAAACAUCAUGAAGAUGG
RNAcentral lists this long non-coding RNA (1430 nucleotides) under Cricetulus griseus (Chinese hamster). RNAcentral describes it as "lncRNA (ENSCGRG00015042615.1)". The record is from RNAcentral. Lineage: Eukaryota; Metazoa; Chordata; Mammalia; Rodentia; Cricetidae.